Long non-coding RNA from Apis mellifera (honey bee), 1066 nucleotides. RefSeq lists it as uncharacterized. NCBI's taxonomy places the organism in Eukaryota, Metazoa, Arthropoda, Insecta, Hymenoptera, Apidae. The transcript is spliced from 3 exons. The record is from RefSeq and is a predicted model, not a curated record.
AUUGAAAAAUUUUCAGUUCUUGUUUUAACGUAAUUGUUAAGUCACGUUGUGCGCAGUAUUAAUUAUUCGAUUUUUGAAAAAUUCGUAAAAUAGUGUAAUUUCAAAAAAGUGUUACCAUUCUUUUGCAUUUUCAUUAUAAUUAUCUGAUUUACUAACGUUUUCAUUUGAGGAAAUUGUGAAAUAUCGUUACAAUUAUAUCGGAAUUGUGAUACGCGUAUAGUAGAAGAUUACAUUCGCUAUACACGUAUGUUACAUCACGGAAAUGUUAGAUUUUAAAAAGAAAUUUUUUUUGAAUUUGAUUGUAUUCUAAAGUUUUCAAAAUAUCAUUACGUAAUCUGCUCGAUAUAUCUGUUUCUAUCCACCUUCGCACCUCCGUUAAUAGCAGGCAAUUUCGUGUUCCCUCGGCUAACCCGUGUAAUUGAGCCAAUGUGUGUUAAUCAAGAGGCGCCUCAUUUGCUACGGGGAACAUUCUAAAUUGCUUUUGUUACCUAAAAUAUCUUGCUGUAGCAUACGGUUUGUGUAUCGAUUAGAAAUUUCACUAUUUUACCGAAGAGGAAUAAAAAAUCUUAUAGAAAAAAUCAACGUGACGUCGUUUUUUUGGAUACCAUUAUGCGUUGGAUGGGCGGAAGAAGCGUGGCCAGCAGGGCGGAAGAAUCGAUGGCGGGAAAAUAUGAGCGAAUGCUCGAUUCCGGAUCGAUGGGGAGCGUGCGACCCUUGGCAGAGGAUCAACUAUCCGCUCGACUCGAGUAUUUGUUUCAAAGCGGGUUUUGAUUGGAAGCGACAAGCGAGAUACUGGCGACAUCUAUCUCCUUCAUCAUUUCAUCGAUUAAUACUCGAUUAACUUCCGAGAACGGGCGAAGAUAGCCGACAUCGUACGAAGAUUGCGACAACUUCCGAAGAUCGAAAAUACCCGAUAUUCACCGACAAACCAAUAUAUUUGGCGACAUUUUAAUAGAAAGAUCAAUCGAUUUUUGACAUAAUAUGAUAUUCUUAUACAUGAUAAUUAAUUAUAAUCGUUUAUUCGUUUAAUAAAAAGAUACCACUGUAGAGUAAAAAUAAAAAUCAA